UACAGGGGGGGCAAGCGUUGUUCGGAAUUCCUGGGCGUAAAGGGCUCGUAGGCGGCCAACUAAGUCACACGUGAAAUCCCCAGGCUUAACCAGGGAACUGCGUGUGAUACUGGAUGGCUUGAAUUCGGGAGAGGGAUGCAGAAUUCCAGGUGUAGCGGUGAAAUGCGUAGAUAUCUGGAGGAAUACCGGUGGCGAAGGCGGCAUCCUGGACCGACAUUGACGCUGAGGAGCGAAAGCUAGGGGAGCAAACGGG
This 253-nucleotide ribosomal RNA is filed under the name uncultured bacterium. RNAcentral describes it as "partial 16S ribosomal RNA". It matches the Rfam family "Bacterial small subunit ribosomal RNA", at positions 524 to 776 of the family's 1533-position model. The record is from RNAcentral.